CAGCAGCCGCGGGAAUACGUAGGGUGCGAGCGUUACCCGGAUUUACUGGGCGUAAAGGGCGUGUAGGCGGCCUGGGGCGUCCCAUGUGAAAGGCCACGGCUCAACCGUGGAGGAGCGUGGGAUACGCUCAGGCUAGAGGGUGGGAGAGGGUGGUGGAAUUCCCGGAGUAGCGGUGAAAUGCGCAGAUACCGGGAGGAACGCCGAUGGCGAAGGCAGCCACCUGGUCCACUUCUGACGCUGAGGCGCGAAAGCGUGGGGAGCAAACCGGAUUAGAUACCCGAGUAGUCCCUGUCUCUUAUAC
RNAcentral lists this ribosomal RNA (301 nucleotides) under uncultured bacterium. RNAcentral describes it as "partial 16S ribosomal RNA". It matches the Rfam family "Bacterial small subunit ribosomal RNA", at positions 509 to 807 of the family's 1533-position model. The record is from RNAcentral.